CAUGUAGGCGGUUGUUUAAGUCUGAUGUGAAAGCCCUGGGCUCAACCCAGGAAGUGCAUUGGAUACUGGGCAACUUGAGUACGGGAGAGGAAAGUGGAAUUUCGAGUGUAGGGGUGAAAUCCGUAGAUAUUCGAAGGAACACCAGUGGCGAAGGCGGCGUCCUGGCCCACACCUGACGCUGAGACGCGAAAGCGUGGGUAGCGAACG
This 207-nucleotide ribosomal RNA is filed under the name uncultured bacterium. RNAcentral describes it as "partial 16S ribosomal RNA". It matches the Rfam family "Bacterial small subunit ribosomal RNA", at positions 568 to 774 of the family's 1533-position model. The record is from RNAcentral.